This 758-nucleotide ribosomal RNA is filed under the name Bacillus pumilus. RNAcentral describes it as "bacterial SSU rRNA". It matches the Rfam family "Bacterial small subunit ribosomal RNA", at positions 57 to 798 of the family's 1533-position model. Lineage: Bacteria; Bacillati; Bacillota; Bacilli; Caryophanales; Bacillaceae. The record is from RNAcentral.
GCAAGUCGAGCGGACAGAAGGGAGCUUGCUCCCGGAUGUUAGCGGCGGACGGGUGAGUAACACGUGGGUAACCUGCCUGUAAGACUGGGAUAACUCCGGGAAACCGGAGCUAAUACCGGAUAGUUCCUUGAACCGCAUGGUUCAAGGAUGAAAGACGGUUUCGGCUGUCACUUACAGAUGGACCCGCGGCGCAUUAGCUAGUUGGUGAGGUAACGGCUCACCAAGGCGACGAUGCGUAGCCGACCUGAGAGGGUGAUCGGCCACACUGGGACUGAGACACGGCCCAGACUCCUACGGGAGGCAGCAGUAGGGAAUCUUCCGCAAUGGACGAAAGUCUGACGGAGCAACGCCGCGUGAGUGAUGAAGGUUUUCGGAUCGUAAAGCUCUGUUGUUAGGGAAGAACAAGUGCAAGAGUAACUGCUUGCACCUUGACGGUACCUAACCAGAAAGCCACGGCUAACUACGUGCCAGCAGCCGCGGUAAUACGUAGGUGGCAAGCGUUGUCCGGAAUUAUUGGGCGUAAAGGGCUCGCAGGCGGUUUCUUAAGUCUGAUGUGAAAGCCCCCGGCUCAACCGGGGAGGGUCAUUGGAAACUGGGAAACUUGAGUGCAGAAGAGGAGAGUGGAAUUCCACGUGUAGCGGUGAAAUGCGUAGAGAUGUGGAGGAACACCAGUGGCGAAGGCGACUCUCUGGUCUGUAACUGACGCUGAGGAGCGAAAGCGUGGGGAGCGAACAGGAUUAGAUACCUUGGUAGUCCAA